RNAcentral lists this ribosomal RNA (253 nucleotides) under uncultured bacterium. RNAcentral describes it as "partial 16S ribosomal RNA". It matches the Rfam family "Bacterial small subunit ribosomal RNA", at positions 524 to 776 of the family's 1533-position model. The record is from RNAcentral.
UACGUAGGGUGCAAGCGUUAAUCGGAAUUACUGGGCGUAAAGCGUGCGCAGGCGGUUGGGUAAGACAGAUGUGAAAUUCCCGGGCUCAACCUGGGAACUGCAUUUGUGACUGCCUGGCUAGAGUGCGGCAGAGGGGAGUGGAAUUCCGCGUGUAGCAGUGAAAUGCGUAGAUAUGCGGAGGAACACCGAUGGCGAAGGCAACUCCCUGGGCCUGCACUGACGCUCAUGCACGAAAGCGUGGGGAGCAAACAGG